This 928-nucleotide ribosomal RNA is filed under the name uncultured bacterium. Its description in RNAcentral is "bacterial SSU rRNA". It matches the Rfam family "Bacterial small subunit ribosomal RNA", at positions 57 to 995 of the family's 1533-position model. The record is from RNAcentral.
GCAAGUCGAACGGAAGGCCCUGCUUUUGUGGGGUGCUCGAGUGGCGAACGGGUGAGUAACACGUGAGUAACCUGCCCUUGACUUUGGGAUAACUUCAGGAAACUGGAGCUAAUACCGGAUAGGAGCUCCUGCUGCAUGGUGGGGGUUGGAAAGUUUCGGCGGUUGGGGAUGGACUCGCGGCUUAUCAGCUUGUUGGUGGGGUAGUGGCUUACCAAGGCUUUGACGGGUAGCCGGCCUGAGAGGGUGACCGGCCACAUUGGGACUGAGAUACGGCCCAGACUCCUACGGGAGGCAGCAGUGGGGAAUAUUGCACAAUGGGCGGAAGCCUGAUGCAGCAACGCCGCGUGCGGGAUGACGGCCUUCGGGUUGUAAACCGCUUUCGCCUGUGACGAAGCGUGAGUGACGGUAAUGGGUAAAGAAGCACCGGCUAACUACGUGCCAGCAGCCGCGGUGAUACGUAGGGUGCGAGCGUUGUCCGGAUUUAUUGGGCGUAAAGGGCUCGUAGGUGGUUGAUCGCGUCGGAAGUGUAAUCUUGGGGCUUAACCCUGAGCGUGCUUUCGAUACGGGUUGACUUGAGGAAGGUAGGGGAGAAUGGAAUUCCUGGUGGAGCGGUGGAAUGCGCAGAUAUCAGGAGGAACACCAGUGGCGAAGGCGGUUCUCUGGGCCUUUCCUGACGCUGAGGAGCGAAAGCGUGGGGAGCGAACAGGCUUAGAUACCCUGGUAGUCCACGCUGUAAACGGUGGGUACUAGGUGUGGGGUCCAUUCCACGGGUUCCGUGCCGUAGCUAACGCUUUAAGUACCCCGCCUGGGGAGUACGGCCGCAAGGCUAAAACUCAAAGGAAUUGACGGGGCCCCGCACAAGCGGCGGAGCAUGCGGAUUAAUUCGAUGCAACGCGUAGAACCUUACCUGGGUUUGACAUGGAUCGGG